This 1756-nucleotide long non-coding RNA is filed under the name Sparus aurata (gilthead seabream). RNAcentral describes it as "lncRNA (ENSSAUG00010017896.1)". Lineage: Eukaryota; Metazoa; Chordata; Actinopteri; Spariformes; Sparidae. The record is from RNAcentral.
CAAACCCUAUGGUUUAGUGUGCUGAACUAUAUUUCACUGAAGACAUGAGAGGGGGUGGAGGAAAUUCAGUGACUGAAUGAAACAACUGUAUGAGUGUGUGUGUGUGUGUGUGUGUGUGUGUGUGUGUGUGUGUGUGUAUGUGUGUGUGUGUAUGUGUGGGUAUUUGUGGUGCCUGUGUUCAAUCAUUAUCAUGCCAGAGUGUGUUUGUUUUGAGCUCUAACUCUCCGGGAAAAAAAAUAAAUACACCUUGGUGUGUCGACAGCAGAGAGAGACACUCCGGAAGGAAGUGAUGCAAUCAUUUCAAUUAAGAUGACUUAUAUACAGUCGUGCUCGGAGUUUCCUACAGCAUAUCCACACAUCCAGCUCUUACAGCCUCAACUCCCAGCUUCCACCCGUGGCUUGGAAUAGACUCCGGGUUCUCCUGUUUGCCUCCGCAGCCACUGAACCAGGACCACCGACAGAAGAUUUUUGUCACAUAAUCUCUGACACUAACGGACAAGAAGAAUGAAGAUUACCAUUACGUUUUGCCUGAUUGGAGCAAUUUUUGCCAACCCAGUAAGUAUAAGAUCCAGAAAAUAAAACUCUUAAGAUAUGCUUAUAAAUCUAAACAUUGUGCAAAUUAAAAUGCUUGCUUCAUUCUGCAGAUUAAUUCACAUAAUAUGUUAAUGGUAUAUCAUGUCGAAGAACCUAACAAGCUAAAUAGGAUUAGAUUCUAACAUUUAGCCAGUACUGUCUAGACUCUUCCACUUUUAAAAGCAUUGCUGUGAACGAUCCUCUUUGUGCUGCUCUCUUUUGUUGUAAUUGAUUCCAAUUUUGUCCUUGAUCGAUGAUUCCUUUCUUUCAGAUUUCCCAUAAUGUGGUUUUGGAAUCAAGCGAGUCAAACACGACUGAAAGUAUGUCUGUUUCACAAUCAUCUGAAAGUGACACUUCAGAGAUUAAGAGCUCUGAAGAGAAUUCCCCAAGCCAAAGUCAGAGUUCAGAGUCAGUAUCUGUGGAGACCACAUCAGAGGACACGGUGGGUUUUAACAUCGCUCUUUUUUUCACUUUACUGUUAUUAGUAAACUGUAAUUGCUGGGUUCAUGAACUGUGUAGUGCAAAUUUGAAUAAUACACGGUGAAGAAACAGAGAUAGUAAAAGACAGAAUGACAGAAAGAAAGAAAAAACACAUCCUUGGUGCAGAGAAGCCCAGUAAGAUUUCAGAGUGACAAAGCUAAAGAAAUACUCUAGUGUACUUGCCCUUUAACAAGCUCGUCACUGAAUGAACGGCGGCCAUUGAGAAGGCAAGGGAGUAAUAAGUGGUCUACUUUAACAUCUAAAAAAGAGAAUAAGAACUCAGACUAAAAUUUGAGCAAAAUGGUCAGCAUGUUACGGGACUUUCAUGAGACCUUUAAAAGUGUGAACUUGUGUGCUCAGUAUUAUUUUAAAGGAAUGUAUUCGGUUGUUGGUGCACAUUAGAGGAAGAGGGUCCACACUUCUCCAAUGUUUGCUCAUAUUUCAUGGCACACGUUCCUUUAUGGAUAGCGUGGAUCAAUACUCACACUCCAACGUGGAUGACGAGAGAGAAAUAGCUGCAUUAAAUGCUCACUGUACAAACCUGUUGCUGCAUUUAACUGUUGUAGAGAUAAAGCUGCAAACACUGCAUCAUUUUCUAAAAGGCUGUCAUUCUUUUCCGCAAACAGACUUCCGAGGAGAGUGAAAGUCAAUCAGUUGAGGACGACGAGGUAAGACCAAUGAAAUCAAGUUUUUUAUCAGACCC